Molecule: long non-coding RNA, 2895 nt
Filed under: Mus musculus (house mouse)
Lineage: Eukaryota; Metazoa; Chordata; Mammalia; Rodentia; Muridae
Description: long non-coding RNA chr19:38705531-38708426
Source: RNAcentral
UGCCUGUCUUCUUUGCUCCUUGACUAGUGUUCUUCCUACUCAGUUCAGUUACACAGAAAAAAAACUGACCAAAAUGUGCCAUUUUCUUGCUUAACCAAGGCUGCUUCAAACUUUACUAAUUCUGAGCUCGAAUUUACCUUUCCUAUGUUGCUCCCUUGUUCUUAAAUUACUGCAUACAUUUAACUUUUUCCAUAAGUUGUAGCCUUUUUAAAAGAAAAUGAUUUCUUUACUUUUUUUUAAACUGAUAGUAAAAUUUUAGAACUGUGCGUAUUAAUGGGGUAUAUAUUAUCCCCGUAAAAAUAGCUAAGGCUGUCCUGCCAUUUCGAAAACAUCAAUAACUGAGUUUCAAGAUUGGAAUCCCAAUCUUUUAUUCACUUUAUAGUUUUUGUAAUAGUGGCUUCUAUUAAAUUCUGGGUAGGGUGCUGGGGAGGAUAUUAAAAUAUUUUAAAAUAUACCAGGGUCCUAGGUAUUAAGUGAUGCUCAAAAUCAGUACUUUUAUCAGUCCACCUGAGAUCUGCAGCUCUAACAUCUCAUUUCGAGUAACACUGCAAAUGGGGAUAUUUUAGUUAGGCCUACACACGUACCCAAAAAAAAAAAAAAAAAAAAAAAAAGAUGAGAAAAAGGAGGAAGGGAAGGAGAGGGAGAAGGAGACGAAGAAGACAACGACGACAGUGACAACCAACAACCUUGUCCUAGAGGCUGCAAUGUAUCACAGUAUGCCACACAGUCUACCCUUUUGUCCACACAUCUUUACUUGCAAAUGCUCAUUGCAGUGAGUUACUGGUCUGUUUCAAGGCCUCUGACGUCUGUUACACUCUCUGCACUGGAUUCCCUACACUAUCUGUACUGGUUCCUCAUUGGGACUCCUAUCAGGUAUCCUGUUGUUGCCCUGUGUCAUGGAGAUCCUGCAACUUUGGACCUGCAAGACUGGCCCUUUCACAUGCCCCAGAAGAUCAUAGAUGGGAUAGACAUUAGGAUGGGUCAACUCAGGGUCUAGGCCUGGGACAUAGUUGAAUUAGUCAACCUGCCACCUUUGCUGGAGCCCCACCCCCCGGGUGAGCUCUCCAGCACUGCCCGGGCUACGUCACCCAAAGGCUGCAGCCAGCACGGGGUAGGGGCUACUCUCCUGGCGCCCUGUCCUCAAGCCUACUCACCUGCACCUUUGCCUGUGUUGUGCUGCCCAGGGAGGUGCAAGGCCCACUCUCCUGAGUGCUGCAACUAGGGGAUUGAGUCCAGCCCUCCCAUUCUCAUUACCUCAGCCCAGCUCUCCUGCACUGUGAGGGUCAAGGAGGCGGCAGGCACCUCUCUCUUGUUAACAGUACUCCUUGCCAGGUGAGGGCACGGUUAGGUCUCCUGUGCUCCUGCCCUUGGAGCUGUUUCACCACACUCCUGACUCCAGGCAAGGAUGUCUGUAAAAUAGCUUUAAAAUAGUUUGUUCGUCUUCCACUAGAAACUGUAAUUUGUAGAUCCAAGAGUAUUCCUUUGUGUGUUUGUGUUUUGUUCUGUUUUGUUUGAUAAAGCAACUGUGGAUCUUUGUCUGCGGCAGAAUAAUUUUUGAAAGUUAUUGCUUGGUUAGCAUAUAGAAAAAUAGGUUUCAAUGCAACAUUUCAUAAAUAUAUACCAUCAUACUUUUUAUUAUAUCCUGUUCUAAUUGGCUCCUUCAGUUUUCUCCUCCAUCUCGCUCCUUUAUAACUGACUAUGCUCAAACAGCCCCUCCUCUGGGUUCAAGACACUUAUAUUCCAUUACCCACUCUAGCCCCACCCCCAUCUUUUGACAUCUUUUUUUCAUUUUCCUUGGGGCUUUAAUAUAUCUGUUGCAGAAGUCUUUCCUUGGUUAGGAUUCUUUUCUUAUGUGUUUUGGAGGUUUGGUUUGGUUUGGGGGGGGAGGGGCAUGUCUUUUGUUUGUUUUGAAACACGGCCUCACCAUGUAGCUCUUGGUGUCCUAAAAUUCACUGUGUAGACCAGAUUGGCCUUGAAUUCACCGAGAUUCCCCUGACUGCCUCUGAAGUGCUAGGAUUAAGGGAGUGAACCAUCAUACCCCAUGUCAUAGGUGUUUUUAAGCAGCUCUAAAUGAGAUGCUUUUUUCCUGAUUUCUUUCUUCAUAAUUUUACUACUGACAUAAAGGAAAGCUACUCACUGACUUUGGUAUACUAGUGUUGUAUUCUGCUACUUUGCAGAGUCCACCCUCUUGUAAUAUUCCCUUUGGGAAUAUUGAUCAUUUUUACCAGUAAACUUUGAAAUGUUAGUUCAGCAUUUUACCUAGUUCAGUGGUUGAAGGAGCUGAGUGUUGGCUGUGUUAUUCUGCUGUAGCCCAUACUUCUGGUGGCUUAAGUGUCACUUCUGACUUUGUGUGAGCACCUUCUGACUAGGGAUCUCACUUUUGAGAACCGGCACCUCCAGUGUCACCACAAAACCACACCAUCCAAGUAAAGGAAACAAGGAAAGCCCAAUGGGAUUGCCGUUCUUGCAUAUAAAUCAGAAAAUUGGGAAACCACUAUCAGUUUUGCCAUUGAGUUACAGUUUAUUUAGGGUCAAAGUUGUAAAUAAAUCCAGUGGAGGAAUGGAGGAGCCAGAGGGGCAAGUGGGGGAGAAACAAGAUUAAAUAAACCAAAGAAAGUGUGGGAGUCAAAAGUGUAAUGAAGGGCAAGAGGGAAAAGCACGAAAUUAGAAAAAUAAAAUAAAGAAAUGCUCUAUGAUCGUGAGCAGACCCGUGAUCAAAAGGAGAUAAGUAGAUAAGUGAGAAAAAAUAAAUAGGAAAAAUUAAAUUCUGAUAGGUUUUUUUUAAGCCAGUGGGUCCAAAACACUACUAAGAGUGCAGUAGAAAGAAAAGCUAAAAGGGAGACCAGAAAAAGAAACUGUCCAGAAAAAACAUGGGUGACAAAGUUAGGUAGAUGU